Molecule: ribosomal RNA, 535 nt
Filed under: uncultured bacterium
Lineage: Bacteria
Description: bacterial SSU rRNA
Rfam family: Bacterial small subunit ribosomal RNA
Source: RNAcentral
AUCCAACCUGCCUCAUACUCGGGGAUAGCCUUUCGAAAGAAAGAUUAAUAUCCGAUAGCAUAUAUUUCCCGCAUGGGUUUUAUAUUAAAGAAAUUCGGUAUGAGAUGGGGAUGCGUUCCAUUAGUUUGUUGGCGGGGUAACGGCCCACCAAGACUACGAUGGAUAGGGGUUCUGAGAGGAAGGUCCCCCACAUUGGAACUGAGACACGGUCCAAACUCCUACGGGAGGCAGCAGUGAGGAAUAUUGGUCAAUGGACGCGAGUCUGAACCAGCCAAGUAGCGUGAAGGAUGACUGCCCUAUGGGUUGUAAACUUCUUUUAUAUGGGAAUAAAGUGGUCCACGUGUGGAUUUUUGUAUGUACCAUAUGAAUAAGGAUCGGCUAACUCCGUGCCAGCAGCCGCGGUAAUACGGAGGAUCCGAGCGUUAUCCGGAUUUAUUGGGUUUAAAGGGAGCGUAGGCGGAUUGUUAAGUCAGUUGUGAAAGUUUGCGGCUCAACCGUAAAAUUGCAGUUGAUACUGGCAGUCUUGAGUGCAGUA